GGGUCAGUAGGUUGGUCGUGCCACCGGUACGUACUGGUCUCACUGAUUUCUCCUUCCUGAAGAACCGUAAUGCCAUUAAUUUGGUGUUGCGGGGAAACAGGACUGUUACUUUGAAAAAAUUAGAGUGUUUAAAGCGAGCCAACGCUUGAAUACAUUAGCAUGGAAUAAUGAAAUAGGACGAUCGAUCCUAUUUUGUUGGUUUCUAGGAUUGACGUA
RNAcentral lists this ribosomal RNA (216 nucleotides) under Glomeromycotina sp. Its description in RNAcentral is "partial small subunit ribosomal RNA". The stretch from base 40 to 216 matches the Rfam family "Eukaryotic small subunit ribosomal RNA", at positions 686 to 864 of the family's 1831-position model. The record is from RNAcentral. Lineage: Eukaryota; Fungi; Glomeromycota.